This 580-nucleotide ribosomal RNA is filed under the name uncultured rumen bacterium. RNAcentral describes it as "bacterial SSU rRNA". It matches the Rfam family "Bacterial small subunit ribosomal RNA", at positions 183 to 782 of the family's 1533-position model. The record is from RNAcentral.
GUACCGCAUGGUAGUGUGUGAAAAGCUCCGACGGUACAGGAUGGGCCCGCGUCCGAUUAGCCAGUUGGCGGGGUAACGGCCCACCAAAGCGACGAUCGGUAGCCGGCCUGAGAGGGCGGACGGCCACAUUGGGACUGAGACACGGCCCAGACUCCUACGGGAGGCAGCAGUAGGGGAUAUUGCACAAUGGGGGAAACCCUGAUGCAGCGACGCCGCGUGGGUGAAGAAGUAUUUCGGUAUGUAAAGCCCUAUCAGCAGGGACGAUAAUGACGGUACCUGAGUAAGAAGCCCCGGCUAACUACGUGCCAGCAGCCGCGGUAAUACGUAGGGGGCAAGCGUUAUCCGGAUUUACUGGGUGUAAAGGGGGCGCAGACGGAAAUGCAAGCCAGAUGUGAAAGCCCCGGGCUCAGCCCGGGGAGUGCAUUUGGAACUGUGUAUCUAGAGUACUGGAGAGGUAAGCGGAAUUCCUGGUGUAGCGGUGAAAUGCGUAGAUAUCAGGAAGAACACCGGUGGCGAAGGCGGCUUACUGGACAGAGACUGACGUUGAGGCCCGAAAGCGUGGGGAGCAAACAGGAUUAGA